Molecule: ribosomal RNA, 258 nt
Filed under: uncultured bacterium
Lineage: Bacteria
Description: partial 16S ribosomal RNA
Rfam family: Bacterial small subunit ribosomal RNA
Source: RNAcentral
UACAGAGGGUGCGAGCGUUGUCCGGAAUCACUGGGCGUAAAGGGCGCGUAGGUGGCGGCCCAAGUCCAUGGUGAAAGCUCGAUGCUCAACAUCGAGUCGGCCACGGAUACUGGGUUGCUCGAGCACUGUAGGGGCAGAUGGAAUUCCGGGUGUAGCGGUGGAAUGCGUAGAGAUCCGGAAGAACACCGGUGGCGAAGGCGGGUCUGCUGGGCAGUUGCUGACACUGGAGGCGCGACGAGCGGUGGGGAGCAAACAGGG